UGUUAGCUCAAUUGGUAGAGCAUCGGACUUUUAAUCCGCUGGUUCUGGGUUCGAGUCCCA
This 60-nucleotide transfer RNA is filed under the name marine eukaryotic metagenome. It matches the Rfam family "tRNA", at positions 8 to 62 of the family's 71-position model. From Rfam's summary of the family: Transfer RNA (tRNA) molecules are approximately 80 nucleotides in length. Their secondary structure includes four short double-helical elements and three loops (D, anti-codon, and T loops). Further hydrogen bonds mediate the characteristic L-shaped molecular structure. tRNAs have two regions of fundamental functional importance: the anti-codon, which is responsible for specific mRNA codon recognition, and the 3' end, to which the tRNAs corresponding amino acid is attached (by aminoacyl-tRNA synthetases). tRNAs cope with the degeneracy of the genetic code in two manners: having more than one tRNA (with a specific anti-codon) for a particular amino acid; and 'wobble' base-pairing, i.e. permitting non-standard base-pairing at the 3rd anti-codon position. The record is from RNAcentral.